Molecule: ribosomal RNA, 503 nt
Filed under: uncultured bacterium
Lineage: Bacteria
Description: bacterial SSU rRNA
Rfam family: Bacterial small subunit ribosomal RNA
Source: RNAcentral
AUUUAUUUAUAAUAAAUUUUGAUGGCGACCGGCGUACGGGUGCGUAACACGUACGUAACCUACCUUUUGCUAGAAAAUAGCCUGAGGAAACUUAGAUUAAUGUUCUAUAGUAUAACAGAAUCGCAUGAUUCUGUUAUUAAAGUAGCAAUACGGCAAAAGAUGGGCGUGCGUCCGAUUAGUUAGUUGGUAAGGUAAAGGCUUACCAAGACAGUGAUCGGUAGGGGGCCUGAGAGGGUGAUCCCCCACACUGGUACUGAGACACGGACCAGACUCCUACGGGAGGCAGCAGUGAGGAAUAUUGGUCAAUGGAGGAAACUCUGAACCAGCCACGCCGCGUGCAGGAAGAAUGCCUUACGGGCUGUAAACUGCUUUUGUUUAGGAAUAAAAAUUCUUACGUGAUAAGGAUUGUGAAUGUACUAUACGAAUAAGUGUCGGCAAACUCCGUGCCAGCAGCCGCGGUAAUACGGAGGACACGAGCGUUAUCCGGAUUUAUUGCGUUUAAA